RNAcentral lists this ribosomal RNA (106 nucleotides) under Caerostris darwini. The record is from RNAcentral. Lineage: Eukaryota; Metazoa; Arthropoda; Arachnida; Araneae; Araneidae.
CGGCCGUACCAUGCUAUACCGGUUCUCGUUAGAUCACCAAAGUCAAGCAUCAUUGGGCGUGGUCAGUACUUGGGUGGAUGACCAUCUGGGAACACUGCGUGCCGUU